AGUGAACGCUGGCGGUAGGCCUAACACAUGCAAGUCGAACGGCAGCACAGUAAGAGCCUGCUCUUACGGGUGGCGAGUGGCGGACGGGUGAGGAAUACACCUGAAUCUACUUUUUUGUGGGGGCUAACGUAGCGAAACUUACGCCAAUACCGCACACCACCUGCGGGUGAAAGCAGGGGAUCUUCCGCCCUUGCGGGAUUGAAGGAGCCGAAGUCGGAUUAGCUAGUUGGCGGGGUAAAGGCCCACCAAGGCGAGGAUCCGUAGCUGGUCUGAGAGGAUGAUCAGCGACACUGGAACUGAGACACGGUCCAGACUCCUGCGGGAGGCAGCAGUGGGGAAUCUUGGACAAGGGGCGCAAGCCGGAUCCAGCGAUCCCGCGUGGUGGAAGAAGGCCUGCGGGUUGUAAAGCUCUGUUGUGGGGAAAGAAAUGCUGGGGGGUAAUACGGUGCUGUUAUGACGGUAGCCUAAGAAUAAUCACCGGCUAACUUCGUG
This 492-nucleotide ribosomal RNA is filed under the name uncultured bacterium. RNAcentral's name for it is "partial 16S ribosomal RNA". It matches the Rfam family "Bacterial small subunit ribosomal RNA", at positions 29 to 507 of the family's 1533-position model. The record is from RNAcentral.